This 285-nucleotide long non-coding RNA is filed under the name Zonotrichia albicollis (white-throated sparrow). Its description in RNAcentral is "lncRNA (ENSZALG00000016436.1)". Lineage: Eukaryota; Metazoa; Chordata; Aves; Passeriformes; Passerellidae. The record is from RNAcentral.
GCAUAAUGUGCUUAUUUUAAUUUUAUUUUUCCUUCAAUAAAUGAUAAAUUUGAAAUAUUUCCUUUGGGUUUCACUGUAAAUAGAUGAAGUAAUAAUGUUGUAUUUAUUUUUAUUAUUAAACAUCUCAGAGAAAAGCAACUUCUGGAUUACCUCGAAUGCACUGGCAACAUAAGUAGCAACAGACUUCCAGACGAAGAAGCUUGUGUGGAACAUGUUAAAUGGUCUGUGAGAGGAUGGCCUGAAGCCCUGGGGUUUUCUGCACUUGGCACUUUUAUUGACCCCUGA